CAGCAGUCGCCACGGUAAUACGAAGGGUGCAAGCGUUACUCGGAAUUACUGGGCGUAAAGCGUGCGUAGGUGGUGGUUUAAGUCCGUUGUGAAAGCCCUGGGCUCAACCUGGGAAUUGCAGUGGAUACUGGGUCACUAGAGUGUGGUAGAGGAUAGUGGAAUUUCCGGUGUAGCAGUGAAAUGCGUAGAGAUCGGAAGGAACAUCUGUGGCGAAGGCGACUAUCUGGGCCAACACUGACACUGAGGCACGAAAGCGUGGGGAGCAAACAGGAUUAGAGACCCCCGUAGUCCCUGUCUCUUAUAA
RNAcentral lists this ribosomal RNA (304 nucleotides) under uncultured bacterium. RNAcentral describes it as "partial 16S ribosomal RNA". It matches the Rfam family "Bacterial small subunit ribosomal RNA", at positions 506 to 809 of the family's 1533-position model. The record is from RNAcentral.